UAUUGGUCAAUGGGCGCGAGCCUGAACCAGCCAAGUAGUGCGAAGGAUGACGGCCCUACGGGCUGUAAACUUCUUUUAUAUGGGAAUAAAGUGCAGUAUGUAUACUGCUUUGCAUGUACCUUAUGAAUAAGGAUCGGCCAACUCUGUGCCAGCAGCCGCGGUAAUACGGAGGAUCCGAGCGUUAUCCGGAUUUAUUGGGUUUAAAGGGAGCGUAGGCGGGUUGUUAAGUCAGUUGUGAAAGUUUGCGGCUCAACCGUAAAAUUGCAGUUGAUACUGGCAUCCUUGAGUACAGUAGAGGUAGGCGGAAUUCGUGGUGUAGCGGUGAAAUGCUUAGAUAUCACGAAGAACUCCGGUUGCGAAGGCAGCCUGCUGGACUGUAACUGACGCUGAUGCUCGAAAGUGUGGGUAUCAAAC
Molecule: ribosomal RNA, 414 nt
Filed under: uncultured bacterium
Lineage: Bacteria
Description: bacterial SSU rRNA
Rfam family: Bacterial small subunit ribosomal RNA
Source: RNAcentral